This 1612-nucleotide long non-coding RNA is filed under the name Androctonus crassicauda. Lineage: Eukaryota; Metazoa; Arthropoda; Arachnida; Scorpiones; Buthidae. The record is from RNAcentral.
AGAGUUAAUAAUGAAAACAAGCUCAUAAAUUUUGUCACUUCUCUACUAUUGGUCGGAACGUCAUUGGGUUCUUAUGUGUUGACGUUCUGACCAGUAGUAGAGAAGUGCCGCUCCCCCAUGUAUGACCUGGAAGAGGCUAUGGCAAAUUGGAUUAAUGUGAAUAUCAAAGGAUACCAGUACGUAGUGAACUCGCUGGCAGAUUUCAUUUCAAGACUUAAGGAGACUAGAAUUGGGGCGAAUCCAUAUUUCACCACUGUAGAUUUUGAAAAAUUAUAUACCUUGUUAAGAAUUGAGCUGACUUGCCUGUGUCUAUAUAGAUACUUGAUGAUGGAAAAUCUCCCGUUGCCAACAAACCAACCCAGCUUUAUGUAGAGAACUAGCAGAUCUGUUUUGUCACUCAUUUUAUAGGUUUAAAGGAAAGUAUUACAGAGACGAGGGGUACCAACAGGGAGCCCCUUAGCGGGAAUGUUAGCGGAAUUGGUUCUUUGCUCCCUAGAGUGAACGCUCCAAUCCGAGAGGCUGCCAUUUACACCCACUAUGUGGAUGAUAUCUUCAUAGUAUGGAAUGAAGAGGAUAGAACGCAAGAACUUGUGGAUACCUUCACGAUAGAUAGCUAUGGGCUUAAACUUAAUAUAGAACAGAGAGAAUGAUUAGAGAUACACUUCCUGGAUGGGAAAAUUCUGUACGAACCACCAACCAUUUACACGACAGUAUACAGGAAGCCCACCAAUGUCAAAAUGAUCAUAUCCAGGUGAUUGAACGUUAAGUGGAGAUAUAAAAAAUGCAGCUAUAAGAUCGUACAUACAAAGAGCGGUAACACAUUGUAGCACUGAGAGCCUCCUAUAUGAAGAGAUUGAAAUGAUAAGGAAAGUGGCUUCCAUGCCUGGGUACACUAGGAGAACAGUGGAUAAACUGAUAGAGGAGGGUUAAAAAGAAGAUGAACAACGAGAAUAGGAGAAACCAUGAGGAACAAAAUCAAGACAAUAUGAAUGGUGGAAAUGAAGAAAAGUAUGAAGCAAUAACAGAUGAUCUAGGAACAUACUGAACAGUAAAAGAGGUGCUUAAGCGAAAAAAGAAAGUUCCAGUGUAUAAAAGACCGGAAACAAUUACUAACUUAUUAAAAAAUGUGAAGGAUAGAUAUGGUAGAAGAGAGAAAUCAGGGAUAUAUGAAAUCCCUCUCUUGAAUCUAGACGAGCACAAGGAAGAGGUGUAUAUAGGUGCUACGGGUAGGAACUUAAGAGAUAGAUCAGAUGAACACCGACAAGAUGUAAAAGGAGCAAGGCAAACUAGAAAAGCACUAGCUAUAAAAGCAUAUGAAUGCAAUAUAAAAAUCAACUGGGAGGAAGCGGCAGUACGCAGAAAUGUAACAGAUAACAGAGAAUUGCAUAUAACAGAGGAUAUGGCUAUUUUAGAAGGCAGUAGAAAAGGAGAAAUAAUAAAUGAAAGACAGUCAGUGGAUUUGCCGCAAGCAUGGAAGUAUGUAGUACGAAAUAGGGGAAAGGGGCAGCUAAAGUAGAAUUGUUUAAAAGAAUUACGAAAGGAGAUAAGAAAGAACUGUUUUAAAAAUUGAACAUUUUAUGUUUACAGUUAUGUUUUCUGGUUAUUACUUGCU